This 466-nucleotide ribosomal RNA is filed under the name uncultured bacterium. RNAcentral describes it as "partial 16S ribosomal RNA". It matches the Rfam family "Bacterial small subunit ribosomal RNA", at positions 28 to 507 of the family's 1533-position model. The record is from RNAcentral.
GAUGAACGCUGGCGGCGUGCUUAACACAUGCAAGUCGAACGGAAAGGCUCCUGCUUGCAGGGGUACUCGAGUGGCGAACGGGUGAGUAACACGUGGGUGAUCUGCCCUGCACUUCGGGAUAAGCCUGGGAAACUGGGUCUAAUACCGGAUAGGACGAUGGUUUGGAUGCCAUUGUGGAAAGUUUUUUCGGUGUGGGAUGAGCUCGCGGCCUAUCAGCUUGUUGGUGGGGUAAUGGCCUACCAAGGCGUCGACGGGUAGCCGGCCUGAGAGGGUGUACGGCCACCUUGGGACUGAGAUACGGCCCAGACUCCUACGGGAGGCAGCAGUGGGGAAUAUUGCACAAUGGGCGCAAGCCUGAUGCAGCGACGCCGCGUGGGGGAUGACGGCCUUCGGGUUGUAAACUCCUUUCGCUAGGGACGAAGCGCAAGUGACGGUACCUGGAGAAGAAGCACCGGCUAACUACGUG